CAUGUCUCGCUCUCCAUCUCUUCAUUACCACCAAACCAAAAAAAUCUAUUGUGGUUCACGCCGCCAUCACUGAUUCACCAUUUCCCUCACCACCACCAUGACAAGCACCAUCUCAAACAAUAAAAACGAAGUAACCUCACACCUCAGUAAUUCCAGCAGCACCGAAAUUAUGCUUUUUAGAGUUUUUCACUUUUCAGUUCUUCAAUUUUGCUCUGUAUAAAGAUUUUUAGGGAUUGUUAGAAGUUUAAAUGGCGAUUUUUCCACGAAAGAGCUAAAAUCAAAGACCGGCUACAGGAAUAGUCAACAACGUAAAAACAUGCCAUAACCGAAAACAGCCGGUGUUAAGACAUUCAAUAUCGCAAUCAUCAUCUACGUGGAAUUUUGAACUGCAGUUCAUGGGAAUUGAUAGGCACUUAUAUAAGGA
Papaver somniferum (opium poppy) is the source of this 424-nucleotide long non-coding RNA. RefSeq lists it as uncharacterized. The record is from RefSeq and is a predicted model, not a curated record. NCBI's taxonomy places the organism in Eukaryota, Viridiplantae, Streptophyta, Magnoliopsida, Ranunculales, Papaveraceae. The transcript is spliced from 3 exons.